Molecule: long non-coding RNA, 1509 nt
Filed under: Anser cygnoides (Swan goose)
Lineage: Eukaryota; Metazoa; Chordata; Aves; Anseriformes; Anatidae
Description: lncRNA (ENSACDG00005014679.1)
Source: RNAcentral
AUGUUUAUCCACCGUUCUUCGGAUCUGCCUUCAAACCUCCUGACAAGCUGCCCGGCACAUCAGCUGUUUGAGGGAGCCUGGCUGGAAGAGGCCGCUGCGAGGACCGCUGCCGUCCGCUCCCGCUGCGCAGAUCUCUUGGUGCCUCUGCCCGACCCGCGCCAGCCCCGGGAACAGCCCGUUUCCUCCCGUCCUGGAGCUCCCUGGAUCUGGCCCGUGGUCUCUUUCCCCCGUCUUUCCUCAGGUAUCGUUCUGCAGCCGUGUUUCGGUCACGGGGCUGGCGGAGGUCAUGGUGCUGGUCCCCGACCUUCUGCUGACAAGGAUCCCGCUUCAGGAUACCUUCACCCUUCCGUGCUAGAAAGUGCUGGCACUUCUCCACGCAGCCAUUCCUGCUGGCACGGCACCAGCUGGAGCACCGGGAGACAACAACGGAGGCUUCCUCCGUGCGCUCCCCAGCUGCUGCCCGGGUCCCUCUCGUGGGCGGGGAAGCCGCCUGCCUGCCGUCGGUGUCGGGACCGGCAGCACGGCGUGCCGAGCUCACUGCCACUGGCUGCGGGUGCGCCCCGGCUUCCCGAAACUCCCCGCCUUGGGGUUGGAGCCAGCUGUCCGCGUGUGCGUGUAGGGCCCCGCAGCACCCAUCAGACUUCUGUUCCCUGUGCUGCUACCCCAGCACCUACCCCGGUGCCCUGUGCUUCGGUGGCUCCUCAGGCUCUGCUCCGUGCAAGUGGCCUCCAAUGUCCGCCGGAGCGAGUCAGGGGUUUGCUUCCACGGCCCUUGAAAGCCCGUGCUGUGCUGGGCCCCUUUCUGUGCAAACUCCUCGAAAUCACAUCGGGUAAUUGCCCUGGCAGUAAGACAGGGUCACGGGCUGCAGGUACCAGCUUCCAGGAAAGCCGAGCGCCCUCCUGCCUGCCUGGAGAUCGAUGCCAGAGCCCAGGCGCGAUCCGAUCGGCUCCCGCAGGAACUGAGCGCAAGGCGGGCGUCCCGCGGCCACCCCACGUGUGCCUUGCUCCUGGCCUCUGGCCCCCCACCCAUGGGAGCAACCCCACUGGGGCCAGGGCUGUGCAGGGACAGGACGGGGCCCCGGCAGUGCUGGAGGCGUUACGUGGCAGAGCACAGCCUCAGCACUCGGUCCCUUUCUGCAGCAGGAACAGAUGCUUUCUGCUACAGUUUGAGUUUUUUUCCAUCUUAUUCAUUUUAGGGAUUAAUUGGAGUGUUUCUUCUCCCUCCCUCCUUCUCCCCCGUUACAUACAGCUGCACAUGGAUUUUAGGGUCAUGCUUGUUUACACCAGUUAUAUUUGCAUUAAUGGGUGUUUGUUUUUGGAAGAGCAGCAGAAAUCCCAUAAAAACAAAUGUUCCUUGCAUCCCACAACUGCCAUCGCUGCCCAGGGCGGCGGAGGCUCCGGGCUGGGUGCCCCAGGACAGCCCCAUGCGCCAGCAGAGGACACUGCCAUGGGCACGAGUGGCUCUGCUGUGGGUACAGGCGGCUUCCAGGCGCUGCGGUACCGACCGUGA